AUAAAUUCUUUGAUGAGAAUAUGACGGCUUUUGGGCGACUUCAGAGAGCAUCCGGUUGGUGAAAGGAUGUGUCAAGCAGAGUUUUGUUACCACCUCGGAGUGCCUUUAAUACAGGUCGGGAGCUCCCGUUACAGAGCAUUGAGAGGCGAUUGUUCAAUCGCAAUUCAGGUGGAACCGUGGAUUUUAUUCACCCUGUUU
Molecule: non-coding RNA, 198 nt
Filed under: Eubacterium coprostanoligenes
Lineage: Bacteria; Bacillati; Bacillota; Clostridia; Eubacteriales; Eubacteriaceae
Description: T-box sequence
Rfam family: T-box leader
About the family: Uncharged tRNA acts as the effector for transcription antitermination of genes in the T-box leader family. T-boxes are found upstream of many aminoacyl-tRNA synthetase genes and some amino acid biosynthetic genes usually in Gram-positive bacteria.
Source: RNAcentral